UCUCUCUCCCUCUCUCAAAAACUUUUUCUUUUUUUGUUGGUUUAGGGGAUUAUGUUUGUGAGCAUAAUGAUUUAGUAGUAGGUUAGUUAAUUGAUGAAUUGAUAUUGAAUUUCAGGGAAGAGUUUGAGAUAGGGGAGUGUGAAACAAGGGAUUCAUGUAGUGAUACCUUGAGCGAUGAGAGUGAGUGUGAGAAGUUAUGGAGAUGGGAUGGGAGUUCCUCAGAAGAAGGUGGAAUGAAUAAUGUAGAACAAAAUUCUCAUCAAUUGCAUUUUAAUGAUAGAUUAGGUCAUCUCUAUUGCCAAUACUUUGAGGAUCAACUCCAUAUGGAAGAGUUCCUCUAAUGGAUAAGUUGACUGAACAAAAAUUGACAAGAAAGGAAGGUAUAAGCUUUUCUUGUUUGAGGUUACUUGCUAAGAUUAAAGCCUCGCUAUCUUUCACUUGAAACUUCUGAAGGUUUUGAUAAAUUUUACCACCAAUAGAAGUAGGAGGCUAAUCUGAUUCAAUCUGCUCUUAUUGUCAAUUAUUUCUAUUUCCAUCUCAAUGUGUUCCUGUCCUAAAUAACAUUGUUCAUCUUUUGUUGUUUAGGAAGCUUGCAGACAAGAUUGCAGCUUCUGGUUACUAUGUGGUUGUUCCGGACUUCUUUUAUGGUGAACCCUAUGAUCCUCAGAAUACUAAUAGACCUUUAGGAGAGUGGCUAAAAGAUCAUGGAACGGUUAGUUCUUUUUAAUGAUUCAACAUUAUUUCUUUGUUCAUAAUGAUUCAACAUUAUUUCUCCAUGAUCCAAACCACAAGCUGCAAAUCCACCAUAUCCUCUCUCAUCCUCUCCUCUUUCUCCAAUGAAACAUCUCAGUUCCUGCUGUGAUUCGAUCCUCUGCUGAUUGGAAGAACACUAGGAAGAACAAAAAGUGCAGAAGGAGGAAUACUAAAAAAAGCAGCAUAACAUGUCACCAUAAACAUGCUUCUUCUUCUUUUCAGGAUGUAUGGUGUGGCCCUGGAAUUGGAUUCGCAUCAGAUUAUGCUUCUGCUUCUGUGGAUUGUGUGGUGGCAAGGAAGAAUGCUUCUUCAAGAAGGAACCUUGAUGCUGUUGAGAGAGCAACACAUAGGGAAGAGUGUAGAUCGGAUAUAGUAAGGUAGACAUCCUCUGCUCAGAAAGUGGGAAGCAGCGAAUAAUUUUGAUGGACCAAGAAUCUCAAGAAGUAAGUAUAUUGCCAUCAUCACUAAGAAGCUCAAGAAAGAAUGAAGCUAUCCAUAAAUUAGGAUAUUGAAUCUUGAUGAGUCCACUAGUAGUUAUUUGUCAUCUAAUGUAUUUAGAUUGUAUUAU
Non-coding RNA from Arachis ipaensis, 1321 nucleotides. Lineage: Eukaryota; Viridiplantae; Streptophyta; Magnoliopsida; Fabales; Fabaceae. The record is from RefSeq and is a predicted model, not a curated record.